Molecule: long non-coding RNA, 12586 nt
Filed under: Gallus gallus (chicken)
Lineage: Eukaryota; Metazoa; Chordata; Aves; Galliformes; Phasianidae
Source: RNAcentral
CAUGCCUCUAUCACCUGCGCAUGCAUUCUUGAGACCUUCACCUAACGUUGAUGAUGCAGUGAGUCUUUUUCUUCAGCAUCCACCCGAUGCAAGGAAAAAGGAAUCCUUACAUUCUGUAUGUGGCAGACACUGUGCUUUUAAUAACCUAAUCAAGACUGAGCAUUUUGAUGUGUCUGCCUCUCUGUGGCUGCGUCCAGUAUGCACACCUGCAUCCAUGCCUCCCGUCCCUGAGAAGUGCAAGGCUAUGGCAUGCAACAAAUAACAGAUUUUUAUUACAUUGCAUGCUCUCGGUGUGGCAGCAGAACUGACAGAAUUCAGGAGAGCUCUAUUACCAAUACAUCAGAAAUGUCCUCCAUCUACCAGGCGUCCCCAGGGGGAUCCACACUAAGUGGAACUCGGAAGACGCAGCCACUGUCUGGGGGGAGACCAUUUGCUCCCUUCCCCCACCGGCCCUUCAGUUGCUUUCAGUAGUGUGAUUUUCUUGUUUUGUUUUGGAACCAGAUGGUGAUGCUUGUAUUGAGUGCCACAUAGUAUACUUUCCAAGGCAGUAAGUAGAUACAAAAGCAAACUAAUUCCUGAAAACUUUUUCAUUUGCUUCAAUAGUCUGCUGAAAGAAACUCUUGGAAUCCGUCAUUUCCCUUUCACGGCCAUUUCUUUAAAAAAAAAAAAAUAGAAAAGCAGUGGCAGGCUGCCAAGCCAUGGAGCCACAUAAAUAUCCCAGGGCUGAGCCAAGCUGCUGCUGAAGCAAUAGUAGCAGCCCCUGCCUGAGGAAUGUCCGAGAGCUGCCAGAGACUUUGCAGUCUGUCUGCCUCCAGUUCCCAGCGUACCACCUCCAUGCCUGGCUCCACCACCAGCAGGUCGCAGGUUUUCCUCAGCCCCUCAGUGUCUGGCAGGCCUGAGUGCCAGCUUACCACCACACACUUAACCUCACUGCAUCAGAGAAGGUGGCUGCUGUGGCAGCCAGGUAUUGCAGUGAGCCCUUCGGCUCCAGCACUGAAAUCCCGCCUUGUGCUCUUCUGAGGUCCUCCCCUUCCCUGUGAACAGGCGAUUUCCUGCAAAGACCGUGCCUGAAAGAAUGCCUUCUGGAGCCCAAAUGCAUUUUAUAACGUUUAACUGUUACAGUCGUUGAUAUGAAAGCUGCUUAUACAAGAGUGUACAACAGAGGCUGGAAACCAUACAGCAGCCCUGCUAUAUGGAUAGUGCUUACUGUGGAUGCCAAGCUGAAGAUGGAUGAACAGCGUUCUUGUUGCAAACAGGGCAUAGCACAGGCUGGCCUAUGUCAGGAAGCAGGUGGCCAACAAAUCAGGGGGCUGCAUCAAAAGAGGAGGGGGCCAGCAGGGUAAGAGAGAUCACUGUCCCCGUCUACUCUGCCCUUGUAAGGUCCCAUCUGGAGCACUGCAUCCAGGUCUGGGGCCCCAGCACAAGAAAGACAUAGAGCUAUUAGAGCAGGUCCAGAGGAGGCCAUGAAGAUGAUGAGAGGGCUGGAACACCUCUCUCUCCUACAAAGACAGGCUGAAGGAGCUGGGCUUGUUCAGUCUGGAGAAGAGAAGGCCCCAAGGACACUUCAUCGUGGCAUUCCAGUACUUGAAGGGAGCUUAUAAACAGGAGGGGGACCAGCUUUUUACACAGUCUGAUAGUGAUAGGUCAAGGUGGAGUGGCUUUUAGCUAAAAGAGGGAAGAUUCAGGUUAGAUGGUAGAAAGAAAUUGUUUACUCAGAGGGCGGUGAGGUGCUGGCACUGCUGCCCAGAGAAGCUGUGGAUGCCCCCUCCCUGGAAGCAUACAGGGCCAGGUUGGAUGGGACCCUGGGCAGCCUGAGCUGGUGGGUGGCAGCCCUGGGUCGGCUUUGAGCUGGGUGGGCUUUGGGAUCCAUUCCAAGCCAAACCAUUCUGUAAUUCUAUGAUUAUCUCCCAGUGCAUGAUGCUGUGUGCAAUCCUGCUGUCCAGUUUUGGGCCUCCCAAUUGAUGAGGUCGUUGAAAACGUGGAAGGUACUGGAGGAAAGGUGGAAAAAUCUGGAUUAGUCUGAGGAGGAACAGGCUGUAGUGUGACUAAUAACUGCCCAGAGUUAUUGGGAGGGCAGCCAGACACCUCUUGGUAGUGGCAAAUGAUGUAGCAGGGGCUUCAGGCCAGGCAAUAGGAUGAACUUCUUUAGUGAGAGAGUAGCACAGGAUGGGAAUGGGUUGCCUAGACAGGUUGUGUGAUCUCUGUCCUUGCAGGUUUUCAAGAUUCUGCUAGAUGAAGCCCCAUCUGCCCUGACUGAGUACUGCUACCUGUGCAGCUUCAAUGGAAGGAUGGGCAGCAUCUCUAGAGGGCUCUUGUGAACUUUUCUGCAACUCAGAGACGGAGAACCCACAAAGCCUGAGGCAGUGCAGGUAUCCACUCACCCAAAGAAUGCCCGGUUCAGUUUCAGAGAAUUAAAUCCCUGGAGGUCCCAGGCUGUGCUGGAGACCUCGGGGCCCUGUGGGUGUGCUGACAGCAGUAGGGACCACGCAGCAGAGCAGACAAACGUGCGCAGUGCAGAUGGGGCUUUGGGUACGUAGCUCUACCACUCACACCCUGCACGUGCUGCUGUGUAUGGCCUCACCUCUGAUAGCUUGAUGAUUUCCCAGUCUGUUUUUUUUCUCGGCAUGAUGUGGACAAGCUGCAAGUCCUACUAAUUACCUCUCCCGUUCCUCUUUUACUGCCUUACCACAAAGGCAAAAGUCCUUUUAUAACACAAGAGCUUAUCUUAUCAACUUCACUCACCAGCCCCACAAAGCUGAAAGUUCAGUGUGGCCCAAAUGCAGGUCUAGCCUGUGCCAUAAGUGACAUACAGGCAGGCAGGAAGAAAAGAGAACUCAAUCUUCCUGUGUCCCUCACCUUGUAAGCAAUUAGUAGUACUUCAAGCAUGAUUGAUUAUACCUAAGGACUUCUUCCAGGGAGUUCUUGGUACUGCUGAACCUUCUUACUUUUAACCUGUCUCAGGCACCCCCACUGUUUCAUUGCUAGCACUCCAUACUGCUCCCUCUCCACACAUCUCCACACAUCCAGUGCAGGUUUUUGUUAGAACUUGGGGGAAACUCUGUAAGCAAAGAGCUCUAGAAGAGUUAAUGUAGGCUAACGUAACACAAACUAAGGCCAGGUGCAGGCCAGAAAAGAAAUACCUGCUUUUAUAUGCCAUGUCAGUGGCCGUGGGUGUCCCAGUGAGGGGCUGUCUGAUGGGAGAGGUAACUCCAGGAGCAAGGACAGCCCUUCCAGACCCUUGUGCUAUCCAGGAAGUGAUCCACCAUCACUGUUGAGUGUAAACUGCAUCUUCCCUGGACUACCAUGUCAUAAUAUUUUUCUAUGCGUGAAAAUAGUUUCGAUUUCAGUAACUUAGCACCUAAGUGAUUCUGCAGAUGAAAGAAUGUCUACUGAAGCAGGAAACGGAACAAAAACCUGCUGUAAGGUAGCUUGUGUGCAAGGACGGAAAGCACCCACCGUGAAGGACUGCAUUGCAGGUUUCCUACACUUGCCUUUGUUUGUUCCCUCUUGAAGUUUACAAUGUGUUAAGCAUUUAGCAGCUAUCUUUUUAAGCUGCUUCUGAGUUCAUGCAGCAGUUCACUCGCUGCUGAAACUUCCUGCCACUCCCAGCUCUGGCAGAAAGGCAAAGGAAGGCCGGAGUCACAUGCAGACCGAUGCUGGCCGGGCCCUGCUUUCCUGGCUGCCUCCUGCAGCCUCCAGCACUGGGUGUAGGUUUGGAUGCCACAAUAUAAGGACAUAGAACUACGAGAGAGUGUCCAAAGGAGGGCUACGAAGAUGAAGGGUGUGUAGGGCAAGGUGUAUGAGGAGCGGCUGAGGCCCCUGAGGGGAGGCCUCACGGCGGCUGCAGCUCCUCACAGGGAGCGGAGGGGCAGCGCUGAGCUCUGCUGUGUGACAGCGGCAGGGCCUGAGGGAACGGCAUGGAGCUGUGUCAGGGGAGGGGCAGUGGGGGUUGGGGACAGGGUCUGCACCAGAGGGCGGUGGGCAUGGCCCCGAGUGCCAGAGGACAAUGCUCUCAGUUAUAUGGUCUGAGUUUUGGGUUGUCCCGUGUGGAGUCAGGAGCUGGACUCUGAUCCUUAUAGGUCCCUUCAAAUUUGGAGUACUCUAUGAGUCUGUGAUCCUAUGACAACUCACCUUUGAACUCCUUCCCCCUCCACCUCAGAGCAGUCAUUCUGUCCAAGACUAGGGGAGCCUUGCAUGACAAGGGACACUGCUAACCUCACCACAAUGUUUUUUUUAAAACACUUGAAUUGCAAAGCUGCUAUUCUAAAUCUCCACUCUCUUUGCAGCCUUCUGUCCAUCCCCCCCCCCGCCCCUGCAGCAUUUCAGGGCCAAAGCACUGCAAGCUGCAGCAGUGUGUGUGUGCUCUUUUUCGCUUGCGAGAGUCUCAGAUGGGGCUGUGGAACAUCUGUGAAGUCCUUCAGUACCUCCAUCUGUAACGCAGCCGGACAGUUCAGGGCUCAGCCUGCACUGCACUUUCACAAAGCAUUGGCCUAGUUUUCCAAAGGGUCAUGGAGAAGGAAACCUCCACAUUGUAGAUGACUUCAUCAGCUGUUUCUACUAAAAACAGUCAUAGGAGAUUUUAAAAACCAGCAGCUUAUGACACCAAUACUUUUUUUAAUCUCAGUGGCAUGGACUGUACACAGCAUUGCCAGAAUUCUGGUUUAGUUAAUUCCACCAUCAGAAAAAUGGGGCAGCGUUGAGGGAGAAGGGCAAUUUUGGAACGUUUUAGCCAAUGAGAAAUCAUUCUGCCAUAGGCACCAGGCACAUAGGCUCCAUCACAUGGAGACUCCACUGCCCAGUACUCCCCAGACAGCCCAGCACACAAGCAGGGUUCUCAUAAGGAGUUCCAGAGAGUAAGCAAGAAUCUGACACCCCACAGGUAAGGGCCCAUCCUCGGGUUACCUGAGAAUGCUUUUGUGCCAGGCUUGAGGUACUCAUGGAGCCCCAAGGACACAGCCUUGUGCCAACAGCAGGGUGUGAGGGGAGUGCCCAUGUUACCUUGCGUAUCCUAGUGACUGCUGCACGCAGAGGCUCAAAGACAACGCAAGUAUUUGUUGGCUUUGCUUUCCAAAUAGAAGCUUUCUGCCUAGUCUCCAGCACAGACCUGCCCUCCAGUAUGGCCUCAUACAUGUGGCUCCAUAGUACAGCAGCUGGUGGCCAUAGCUACAGGAGCAAUGAGAUGUGAGCAGGCCCCAGGCUGGGCUGCAGGACACAGGCAGCACCCACCAUGGAGCCAGGGCCCAGGUGCUCCAGGUUCAGGCUGCAUUACAAGAAGCCCACAUCCUCACCACCCACCUGCCACGGUGUUAUAUGCCACGAGCAUGUGCUACACCCCUGCCACUACCACAGCUGCUGGAACACAGGCACCUCUCCUCUAAACAAGACCUUAUAAGCUGUGAAGUUACUCAAUAUGACAGAUGGUUCGGCCCUCCCAUGCUGACAAGACGCAGCUGUGCUUUCUUUGCAUUGGUGCUACAUUACCAGACUUUUUCAGGGAAAUAAAUGGAAAGUGAAGUUUUUUGGCAGAGUAGCGAUGCUCUAGGUAAAUAAACUACUUUCACGUCAAAAUAGAUCUCCCUUUUAACAAUACCUACUGCUAAGAUAAACUGAAGGAAGUUUUCCCUUGUGAAUGAGUCCAGGCUGAACAAAGCCUCGCACAAGCGAAGGCCUGCUCUGCGAUGAGCAAGGCAAGCAUCCAGACUCACGUAUCACAUUUCUGAACUAACUAUACUUGGAUAGUAGUUACGGCAGAAGCUUGAGGUUUCUGCACCUGAAAACACAGGGAGCAGUUAGUGCUGAGUACCUUAAGGCAACAUUCCUCAGUUAGGAGUAUUUUUAGUUGACAUGUACUCCUAUUUCAAUUGUAAGCCACUUAAAGCCCUUCCUCUCCACUGUGGCAUUAACACCGUUAUGUUGAACAGAGAAGAAAACAGCCCAGACUUUUGCAUUAAAAUACAAACUUUACAAGCACAUAGUAAGUGUAGGCUCUUAUAUUUCAGUUUAAGACUAUAUAAUUUUAUAGAGUACCAAAAUAAGCAAAGGAUCAGCACUCCAUACAAAGUGUUAGGUUCUUAGGAGGAAGGUAGAAGGGAGAUGGAAUUUAAUUACACUAAGAUUUUCUUUGCAAGUCUAAAGAAAAUUCCAUUUCAGCAAAAACAGAGUUGGGUUUAUAUUUCCCAUAUUUCUAGUUCAUUAAAUAAUGUUUCUUUAAAGACAACUUACAUUGUUCUCGUUCAAAGUAAAGGGAUGAUUUAAAGCAGUAUUAACAAGGAGGUGGUGCUGUUAAUGUUUAAUGUCAAUAUGCAAUGUCAUCCGCUAUAAAGGCUAGAAGAGCAACACAACUUUAUCGUUACUUUCAAGGACUAUUAGAAAUUGACUAACAUUUGAGGAAAGUUUCAAGCACACUACACUGCCUCUAGCUCUACGCUGCUGCUGCUAAGCCUCUGCAGUCUGUACGCUGCCAACAGGAACUCGGCACACAAAUCCCAACUCCCAGCUGCUGGCAGCAAUGCCUUCACAUGUACGCUGUCAGGCCAACUUGGAGCAGUUAUGCUUCUUCCCUGACUCAUGGCAUUAAGAUGCAGUAGGUUAUUAGCUAACAUUAUCACUACAGUUUUACAAAAAGCGUAAGUCUGAACAAAACAGCAGUUAAAGCGCUCUGCUUAACUUCAGGAUUAAUUCUGUGACAACUCUCCUCUAUUCCCUGCGGUUUCCUCCUCUACUCCUUCCCUAGUUUCUAUUUUACAAUAAAUAGAUUCAGUGGAUUUACAUGAUGCAAGUGAAACUCAGAAGACUUCUGCCCUACACAUGUAACCGUUAAGCUGUGAGAUUAUACACGUGAUACACCUCUAACAGAGCAACCACUGGUUUAGAUUGUUAAAGAAACCUUGUAAAGAAACACAAGUAUUUCAGCACGUACAAAGUAAUGAGUUCAGAACUGUCCAACAUUGUCACUUCCAUACAUUCUCUUCCUCUUUAUAGCUUUAAAGGGAUUUAGACCUUGAUGGCAACAAUCCCAAAACAAGAGUAAAAUGAAUUUAUUUUAUUGCAAACAAACGUCUAGAGUUAAAUUUCUCCACCCACUUUCUUUAAAGAGAAAAGGAAUCAGCAGGCUAAGGAGAUACACCCAUUUGAGAAUCGACAUGAUUAAAAAUUAGAUAUAAAAUGGGUGACUCACAGUUUCAUUAGCUUACAAAAUGGUGGAGUAACUACUACAAGCACACUAGGUAUACAGUAUUUUGUGGGGAAGUUAUACAGACACACAGCUAACUUCAUAUAGAUCCCAUUAGACAACUGGAUUUACAACAAGUUUUGUUUAAUAAGAAAUGGGCAAAGCCAGCUUCUUUUCAGAAUCAAAAUGCAGAACAAAUGGAAAAGAAAUUAUGGUGGUGUACCUUCACAAGUUUGAGCCUCCACAAGUAACGCAACCAAGUUUUACAACUUUAAGAGCUUCUACAUACACUCCACCUUCACUAUUUAGCUCCAGGUUUCCUCUUCACCCCCGUCUUAUUGAGUUCCAAAUGUUACAAAAAAGUCCUAGUUUAUUGCCAGAAACUUUUACCUCCCCCUUCCCUCCUCCCCACCCAAAAGCUUUAUAGAGAGGAUGGAGUGUAAUACGGAGCUUUACAUUAUAUAUUCAUGAGGGCUACAAAGGAGCCUCCGCACGAAUCUGGUUGCUCAUAUUUUGAUCGUACUGUGACACGACUCACGACUGUUUCUUAGAAAUUGGGGUAAAUGGGGGGAAAAAGGAGAAAAUUCUUUAAUAAAAAGACACCAGGUACAAAGCAACGUUUUACUUUUGUUGUGGUAAAAAAAAAAGUCACAUUUUACAGAUAAAAUGUAGAACCCUGAAAUACUGACACAUUCUCUUUUCGUGCACAAUGCUGAGGUUCUCUUACGAAUCACUUUAAAACUGCAAUUAAAAAUGUACAAAAAAAGAAAAGAAAAAAAUCAACCCACAAAGCUUCUAAAAAAGGAACCCGCAGGCACUUCCUCUUGUGGAAUGUUUAAAAAGUUAGCCUACUAAAGAAAACAGUCGACUUCUUGUGAAGGUUUGGGAGAAAUAUGUAUCAGUUCAUUUAUUUGGGUAUUCAAUAAUAUCCUUGGUGAUAAUGCUGACUCCAUGGCUUCUGACCCCAGAAUUGACCCUGCUGCCACUGGUUGUAGCCCUGAGAUUGGUUUUUGUAGCCACGAUUAUUCCCCCUUCCUCUGAAGUUCUGGUUGUAGUUUCCCCUGUUGGGCAUUCCACCUCUGUUAUAGUUUCCUCUGUUUGAGUAGCCACCUCUGCUAGGAAAGACAGGGCCACGAGGAUAAGGAUAGCCAAUGGCACCACUGCUGCCGCCACCGCCGCCACCUCCUCCACCACCACGCUGUGGCAUAUUGCCUCCCCUCCUGUUGUAUCCACCUCGAUUGCCUGGGACUCCUCCUCUGAAGUUGCCACGCAUGUUGAAUCCUCCACGCCCCCUCUGCCCUCUAUUAAACUGAUUUUUAUUGCUCUUCUUGUUUUUCUUUGAGCCAGUGUUCUGUUUCUUUUCUGGCGGAAGAGAUUUCUUACUUUCUUCUUUAUAUUGUUCCAAGAGUUUCUGAGCUUCUUCUUUUUGCAACUCUACAUAGAUUAUUUCAUCAAAACAUUCUGCUACCUCUGGCAGUGUGAAGUUCCCUUUCAUUUUGAGAACUGCAUGCUCUGGAAGAUCUUUUCCCUCCACCUCUGCCUUCUUUUGUGUUCUUUGCUUGUAGUCUUCAUCUUUUGGGCAAACAACAACUGCUUUGCGCUGGAAGCCUGCAAACAGGCACAUUUUUCUCCUCUGCGCAGCUGCAGACACAUUUGUCUGAUCCAAAAUGAAAUUCCGCUUCUUACGAGCUGCAAUCUCAAUGAAUUUUCCAAGACACUGUGGAGCUCGCUGCAACAGUGUGUUAAGUUUCCCAGUGUCUGCCAUCUGCCGCUUAAAACCUGCAACCAUCAUUUUGUCCAUAAUAGUAUUUGUCCCAAGAAUGUUGUAUUUCCCAGGAUUUGCUGCUGCGUGUUUAGUUACCCAUGUAGUCUUGCCAGCUCCAGGCAAUCCAAUCAUCAUCACCACCUCACAAUCUUUCUUUUGCUCAGGUCCCUUUGGUCCUCGAACCCUAUCUUCCAGGGGGACCUUCUGGAUGAAGGUAUACUCUUCAGGUACAGGAAAGUAAGGUUCAUCCUUCUGACCAAAGUUGAACUCAACCGCACAGUUAUGGCAGAGAACAUGUGGAAAGAGUGGGCGCCCAUCAAGAACUUCCUUACUAAUUUUGAAUGCAACACCAAGCUCUUGUCCGUUCUUGGAAUAUGAGAGCUCCACUUCAUCACCAUCAAAAUUAGCAAAACAUCCAAUCACAUCAUUUUCAUCAAACUUCUCACCAAAGUCUUCAGUCUCACAAUUGCAUGUCUUUAUUCCUUUUAGAGAAUAUCCGUAAGAAAAUUCUUCUUCACCAAGCAACAUUCCACUUGUGUUCAGUGACCAGCCAACUCGCACCUCAUGUAUAUCAAUGUCUUUUGUAUACAGGUGUUUAACAGGAAUCUUUUCUGUAACCUUCAUCUCAAAGCAGACUUUGCCUUUAGAAACUCCAUAGGAAGCACUAAACCGGUCUCUGGAGAUUUUAAAAUGCAGGUCACAGUUAUAGGUAUCGAGACACACCACGGUGUCAUCAAAGUGUUCAUCUUCUUCUUCAACAGGUGGUUGAGGGGACUUGGCCCUGCUGUAUUUAUUUUCUUCAAUGUAUUCAAAAUAUCCACGGCCAUGGUCUUCACGUGGUCUCUUGACACCCCUCUUUUUCUCACCAGGUUUUUGUUCUGUUUUGCCAUCUCCCCCGGCCGCCUGGGCCCCGGGGCGGCCUCCGCCGCCGCCACCUUCUGCUUUCUUCUGCUGCUGCUGCUUGGCGGGGCCGGCCGGGCCGGCGGAGGCGGCAGCCGCCGCGGGCCCCGAUGCGCCGGCAGCGCUCUUGCCCGGGGCCUCCUUGGCGGCGGCGCGCGGGGCGAGGAGCGGCUGAGGCGGCUGCUGCUGCUGGGGCGGCUGCUGGGCCUGGGGCUGCUGCUCCCCGUGCCCGUUGGCGUCCCCGGCCGCGGCCUCCUCCUCGUCGGCCAGCUCGUCCUCCCCCUCCUGGAAGCCCUGGUCGUCUCCGUUCUCGUCCUCCUCCUCCUCCUCUUCCUCCUCCUCGCCGCCCGCCUCCUCUUCCAUCGGGCCGCCCCCGGCCCCCGCCCGCUCGCCGUUCUCUUCGCCCAGCUCCAUGGCGUCGCCAUCGGCGGCCUCCAGCCCUUCCUCGUCGUCGUCCUCCGCCGCCGAAGCCGCGGCCUGGUCGAGGCCUCCCCCCUGGCGGAGCUGCGCGGCGCCGCCGCCGCUCUCGGCCGCCUCCCCCUCCAUGCUGCCGUUGCCAGGCUCAGCCGCGCUGCUGGCGGGGCCCCCCCCGCCGGCCUCCUGGUCCAGCGCGGCCUGGAGCCGCUCCAUCAGGUCGGCCUUGAGGCCCUUGUCGGAGAGGCGCCGCUUUUUCAACUCCUCCUUCAGCUCCGACACCUUCAGCUUCUUCACGUUGACGGGCGAGCAGCUCAUGGCGGCGGCGGCUCGAUCCCUGGGCGGCGCGCGGGCGGCUCUGGGCUCGGGCGGGCGACGGCGGCUCUGGGUCGAGGCCCCGGCGGGAGGCGGUGGGCGGGUGGCGCGGCUGGUUCGUGCGGCUGCGGCAGCUGCAGAGCGGACCCGCCUGGCGCCAAAUCCUUUCACCGAGCUCGCGAGGGAGACGCGCCUCGCGGGGCCGAGCACGCAACACUGCCCGCCCCGCCCCCGCGCACGUAGUCCCUCCUUCCCCCCCCCGCCCCCCGCUACCGUAACGGCCGCCCGCGCGCGCCCGUACCGUAAAUACCCGUCCGAGAGCAGGGUGCCGCGCGGUCCCCGCUGCCCUCAGGCGCGUGGCGGCUUCCCGUGCCCUGCCGAGCCUACACGGCCGUGCCCGGACUCGCGGCGCAGCCGGGGGACGAGCGCCCCUCGCCCCGCGCUGCGGCCGUACCUGCGCCAUGUUGGGCAGGAGGCGGCGGGAAGCUGCCGCACGCACGGCUGGAGGCCUGGACCCGACGCGCCGCGCUGCCGCCUUAACCCGACCGGGCUGCAGGGCCUGCGGGUUGGAGGCCCCACGGCGGCUAGAGGCGCCCCGGGCCUGCGUGUAGGCCGCAGCACGACACAGCUGCCCCCUCCCCUCACGCUCAGGCCUGUGGAGGGUUCGACAGCAAACAUCGCACCUUGAAAUAGCUACCCAGACACAACCUGCUGAAAAGUUACAUAAGGACAGCAGUAGAGCCAGACAUACAUCUCUCUACGGGCUGCAGCAGUAAGAGGCAAGCAUUGACCCGAUCUUUAGACGAUGUUUUCAGCAAGCCACGGGGCCAACAAAAGCAAUUCAAGUGCAUUACCUCUCCCACGCAAGCACCAGUCUGGAGCUCAGCACAGAGCUGAUCGGCUAACCAGCUGCAGCUAAACAGCUUACACGUGCCCAUCUUUCCCUCUGCACAGCACUACUUGGAUCUCUCCUCAGCCACCAAGUUGUAUGGUGGAGAUUUGAUAAUUUAUUCGUAUACACAAUUUGACUAAAAGUUACUUGAAAAAAGAAAAUACAACCAGACUAGAGAGGGCCACAGAUGAACAGAAAGGCAACACCAGUGUGCACUUCGGCUUCCUUAGGGAGGCUGAAGAAGAAGCUAGUUUUCACGUGCAUUUUAAGAAGUUCACAAAAGGGGCAAGCCAAACAAAUGUAGUACAAAGAAGUCCUACUGAAGGCACGGAGGUGCCUUGUACAGGUCACAUGGCCUUCUGAACCAGAACACGUUACAUUUACUUACAGCCAGCAAAAGGGAGAAGAGAUGAGGAAGUCUCUCUUCUAACUGUAAAAGGAAAGUGCUCUCUCUUUCUCUCUCUCUCUCUCUCACACACACACACACACACACACACUGCUCUGUCAGGCUGGAUUGAUCGCUUUUGGAGGAAACGUGACUCACUCUGCAAGGUUAGCUCAACCCAACUACACAAAGUGUUGUUGGAACAGAGACAGGAAGAGUUGCCUCAUGCAGUAUGUCCAGAUUAUAAAUUUUCCCUAGUAUGAAUGCAAGUUAGUAGAUUCUAUCUCACUCUGCUAGGUUAGAAUAUUUUAAGCAGGGUAAGAAAAGGAUAGUGUGCAUGAUUACCAGAAAGAUCAGUGUACAAUUAAGCUGAACAGAUAAAAAUCAUUACCCUUGUUCCUUUCUUUGUGAAAGGGCCAUUUAAACUUGUCUGAGUGACAAUUCUGCCAAGGUGGGAGCAAAAAUAAGCAGAGUCUACCUGGUUAAUGUUGCAAGAUAAUUUACUACUGAAACUUACAGAACACAGGAAACUGCAUUAAAUUUAAAUGUCAUGUCUGUCCAACAUCCAGGUUUAUUUUUUCAAAUUUUGAACAUAAAAGUAUUUAAGAACAUACACUGUCAAGUCUUUAUGGCUUAUUUUAUCUGCAUCUCAGAGCCUUAUAUUGAAACCUUGAUCUGGCCCAGCCCUUGUCACAUGUUGAGUGAUGUUUCUAGAAAAGCUCCAUUGGAGUAGUCUGAUAAUCC